RNAcentral lists this ribosomal RNA (465 nucleotides) under uncultured bacterium. RNAcentral describes it as "partial 16S ribosomal RNA". It matches the Rfam family "Bacterial small subunit ribosomal RNA", at positions 29 to 507 of the family's 1533-position model. The record is from RNAcentral.
AUGCACGCUGGCGGCGUGCUUAACACCUGCAAGUCGAACGAUGAAGCCCAGCUUGCUGGGUGGAUUAGUGGCGAACGGGUGAGUCACACGUGAGUAACCUGCCCUUGACUCUGGGAUAAGCCUGGGAAACUGGGUCUAAUACUGGAUAUGACUUCUCAUCGCAUGGUUGGGGGUGGAACGAUUUAUUGGUCUUGGAUGGACUCGCGGCCUAUCCGCUUGUUGGUGAGGUAAUGGCUCACCAAGGCGACGACGGGUAGCCGGCCUGAGAGGGUGACCGGCCACACGGGGACUGAGACACGGCCCAGACUCCUACGGGAGGCAGCAGUGGGGAAUAUUGCACAGUGGUCGCAAGCCUGAUGCAGCGACGCCGCGUGAGUGAUGACGGCCUUCGGGUUGUAAACCUCUUUCAGUAGGGAAGAAGCGAGAGUGACGGUACCUGCAGAAGAAGCGCCGGCUAACUACGUG